AGAGUUUGAUCCUGGCUCAGAACGAACGCUGGCGGCGUGCUUAACACAUGCAAGUCGAACGGGAUCCAGAGCUUGCUCUGGUGAGAGUGGCGCACGGGUGAGUAACGCGUGGAUAACCUGCCCUGGUAUCCGGAAUAACAUCUCGAAAGGGGUGCUAAUACCGGAUAAGCCUACGGAGCCCUCGGUCUCCGCAGGAAAAGGUGGCCUCUAUUUAUAAGCUACCGUAUCAGGAUGGGUCCGCGUACCAUUAGCUAGUUGGUGGGGUAAUGGCCUACCAAGGCGACGAUGGUUAGCUGGUCUGAGAGGAUGAUCAGCCACACUGGAACUGAGACACGGUCCAGGCUCCUACGGGAGGCAGCAGUGGGGAAUUUUGCGCAAUGGGGGAAACCCUGACGCAGCAACGCCGCGUGAGUGAUGAAGGCUUUCGGGUCGUAAAGCUCUGUCAGAGGGGAAGAAAUGAGAUUGGCUAAUAUCCAAUUUUCUUGACGGUACCCUCAAAGGAAGCACCGGCUAACUCCGUGCCAGCAGCCGCGGUAA
Molecule: ribosomal RNA, 537 nt
Filed under: uncultured bacterium
Lineage: Bacteria
Description: bacterial SSU rRNA
Rfam family: Bacterial small subunit ribosomal RNA
Source: RNAcentral